This is a long non-coding RNA of Mus musculus (house mouse), 863 nucleotides long. RefSeq annotates it as predicted gene, 38761. Lineage: Eukaryota; Metazoa; Chordata; Mammalia; Rodentia; Muridae. The transcript is spliced from 2 exons. The record is from RefSeq and is a predicted model, not a curated record.
ACCUACCCCAACUGCCAAUACUGUUUCCCUUAUGGAGAUUGUAGUCCUGAAGACCAAAUGCGAAGUCACAGUGAGGGCACAGACAGUGGCACACACUUGCCCUCACAGCAGAACAGGGCCCUCCUGUGUGCUCACUUCCUGUCUCGAUGCCAUGUCCUCGCCUCGCUGCCAGCUCUUCCCUCACUCCUGUACACCAGUGGAUCCUCAAAGAAUCAGGCCGUUUCUCUUGCUUGUGGCUUAGUUCUCUUGCCUCUGGAAGAAAUAGCUACUUCCUUUGGUGACCCAACAUUAUUGCCCUUAGACGACAUUGAAUCUGUGCAUGUGGAAUGUGUCACCUACGACAAAGUAGUCAGCAGGUGAACAAUUUGGUGCGAUUGCUUGCCCUCUCAGUCUAUGAGGCUGCCUUAACAAAAAGGCUAACAGAAGAGUGGCCAAGAAGCUAGAAAUUUAUUCCUCUCACUCCUGAAGUCUGGGAAGACCUAGAUGGAGAUGUCAGCAGACCCCGUCUGUGAGGUCCUCGUGCCAGUAUCAGAGACAGCAGCCUUCUCUCCAUAUCCCCAUGGUGGAGGGGUAAGGCAUGUAGGUCUCUGAAGCCCCUCUUGUCACACUGCUGAUGUCCUGCAUGGGGGAAUUCAUCUGCGUGCCCUCAUUACUCCACAAAGGUCCCACCCUCUCAUACCAAAGCUUGGCAGUGUUAAUUUCAGUAUAUAAAUACAUGUGUGGGCUGUACAGGUGUCUAGACCUAAGCAAUGCUUAUCCAUUGCUUUUUUCCCCUUCUUACAAACUGUUAAUAAUUCUUUAUAUAAUUGGGAGAUUAGCUCAUUGUCAAUGAUGUAAAAUAUAAAUACAUUUUCUCACUCUGC